GGGCGAGUAGCUCAGUCCGGUUAGAGCGCGAAGCUUAUACCUUCGUGGUCGCAGGUUCGAAUCCUGCCUCGCCCACCA
This 78-nucleotide transfer RNA is filed under the name bacterium. RNAcentral's name for it is "tRNA-Ile". It matches the Rfam family "tRNA". Rfam says of the family: Transfer RNA (tRNA) molecules are approximately 80 nucleotides in length. Their secondary structure includes four short double-helical elements and three loops (D, anti-codon, and T loops). The record is from RNAcentral. RNAcentral also lists the same sequence under 2 other names.